RNAcentral lists this long non-coding RNA (4864 nucleotides) under Sus scrofa (pig). Its description in RNAcentral is "lncRNA (ENSSSCG00025018935.1)". Lineage: Eukaryota; Metazoa; Chordata; Mammalia; Artiodactyla; Suidae. The record is from RNAcentral.
GUAGGUGAGCCAUCGCCUUCUCAAUGAUAACGAUGUAUUUCUACCACCCUGUCGCUGGAGUUGAAUUACCUCAUAAUGAUGAUCUAUCUUCUGUCUAUAGAACCAUGAGAUUCUAGGCGACAUCACAGCCAUUAAUCCUUCACUGGGCGGUUUUCUGUACGAGAUGCCAUUGUUGUUUGAAUAGCAAUGGUCACCGCCUUACUAAGCAGCUCUGCAGUAACAGGGUGACUGUUGAGUCAGGCAAAGAGAUCAUUCCUUGGGUCUUUCUGCUCUUAUGACUAAUUGUUGGGGUUCAUUAAAUACCAUUUUACACUUUUGAGUUAAAUAAUGAACACACGUGUUUGAAGUAAACUUGAAUAUUUGGAGGUCUAUAUUUUGGUUUUUUUGUUUGUUUGUUUGUUUUUUAAUUUUCCCACUGUACAGCAAGGGGGUCUAUAUUUUGUUAUCCAUCAGUUAGCGAUGAUCACCAUCCACUGGGUGAGUGAAUCUGUGCAAUCCCUUAGACAGAGCUCUAAAUUCUAUGAUUACAUGUAAACAUGUCUAUGUAUCUGGGACACAUACAUCUUUUAUUUUCAUGAUCAAAAUUGAGCUUCUUUUUGUAACUGGCUAUAGUCAUUCAGCCUUACCACGUUUUUGAGUGAGUGAUUCAAAGGGUGGACUCCAAAGUCAGGCUCCCAGAAUUCAAGUUUAUACCCACCGUUUACUUUCUACGCUUGAGGGAUGUUACUGAAUCUCCCUGUGGUCCAACUGCCUCAUCUAUGAGAUGAUAGUAAUGGGGAGUCCCCUUAAGAACCAGACGUCGUGUCCAUAAGGAUACAGGUUCAAUGCCUGGCCUCACUCAGUGGGUUAAGGAUCCAGUGUUGCCGCAAGCUGAGGCAUAGGUUGCAGAUGUGGCUCGAAUCUGGCAUGGCUGUGGCUGUGAUACAGGCCUCAGCUGCAGCUCUGAUUCAACGCCUAGCAAAAACAAAGAAAUAGAAAUGAUGUUACAGCUACCACUCCAGAAUUAAUGAGGAAUUAAUGAGUUAAUCCAUGUAAAGCUCUUAAAACACCACCUUUAUUUUAUUGCAGAUCUGAUAUAUUGUACUGUUUUGUUUUUUUUUUUUUUUGACUGCACCCACAGUAUGCGGAAAUUCCCAAGCCAGAGAUCAAACCCUUGUUGCAGUUGUAACCUGUGCCACGCUGUGCCAGUGCUGGGUCCUUAACCUGCUAUGCCACUAUAUUGGACUGUUUUUUAAGAAAGCCUCAAAUAUGAGCUAUUAUUACUUACCUGUGUAAAAUCAGCCACAUCAAAUGGUAUAUUUCUCACAACGCUUUUGGAGAUCUUAUCUUUCCUCCACCACCAUAAUAUAGCCUCUCUCCCUCCCUCCCUGCAGGCUCAUGGCAACCACCCAGAAGAGUGCCUGACAUAUAGCAUAUAAUGGGGACUUCAUGAAUGUUUAUGGCAUGCAUGGAGUCCAAUUUGUCUCAAAAUGUUAUCUUUUGUUGGUAUAGAGAAAGUUGAGGAAAAAGAAGCUUUUGCCUCUGUGAGCAAUUACCCAUCCUUAUGGCCUCAGACACAACCAUGUCUUUCUGUUACCUUGUAAUCCAUGCCCUGCCCUGAAACUGAAGUCCUUCUGGGAGGGUCAACAAUACACAUGCUGUUCCUGAGUAGUGGAAUAUUUUAUUUGGAAACAGGCAUUUGCUGACAGAUGUGUAAAAGUACACCUACCUAUACAAGUCCCCAUCACCUCAACAGCUGUGCACCGCCAAGAAACCACACUCUUUCUGUUCACCUGGCAUUCAUGGACACUUGGAUUUUUGCCCCCAGGUCAACCUGUGUCUGAUGCUGUCCAGCUGUCCCAAGGAUUGUUUGGCUCAGCACAACCGUGUGGGUUUCCCACACCCCUGGUGGCAGCAGUUCCAACACAAAUAUUGAAGCCGUACAAAUCUGAACUUCCAUUUCCUUCUGGAGGAAAUGAGAGCUACCAGGGCGUCCCUCGUUAGGUGUUGGUCCUUUUUCCAACUUCUCGUGGUCCCCAGAGCCUACCCAGUAUACAAGAGGGAAACAUGGACUCGAUGGAACUUGGGUGGGCUCAUUUCACAAUAAUGAAAAAUGCCUUGUUUUUCUUCUGCAUAAUCUUCUCUCCAUUCAUUAUGUUGGCUCUUUUUUUUUUUUUUUUUAAUUUCAGUGUUGCUUGAGAAAUACUAAGUGAUUAAUAACCCGUCUUGGUUUUGCUUUUGCUCUCGCUGGCUUGAAGAGAAAUAAUGUGACCUACAGAUGUUUGGACAAAUAGUACAUUGCGUUAAUGACAGAUUCUGCUCAGACAUGCCCCACACAAUUGAGCUUAUCAGCACUAAAAGAACAGGUAUUCCUGGACUUUGUCUAAUUGUCCUCUCUGGCUUUUCUUGUUAGACUAAAUACCAACCAUAUUGAAAAGGAGACUGGACAAAACUGUGUUCAGAGCUGUGCACUGCUUUUGUCCCCUACAAGGCAGACAGAGGAGGAAAUAUGCAGAUAGGGCAUAUGUGGGGGUUGUGUAAACAGUUCUAACAGAAUAGAAGCAUCCUUACGUGCAAGGCAUGUGGAUGGCGCUGUGCACGUCACGUAUCUCUUCAUAUAAAUUGCUUUUUUAUUUUUACUUAAAGUAUGGGAAAAGGAAAUAAGGUUUCUUAAGCAGAUAAAAAUUACCAGCCAGAGUUAAUUAAGUCAUCUUUUAUAGUAUGUGGUUUCAUUAAAAUUGGUGAUUAAUGAUAACUGAAACUCUCUGGGUUGGUUUAUAUAAAGGUUCCGUUGGGAUUGUAGAGUAAAGGAAAAAGGAGGAGACAUAAUUUCCAAAUUGGGUCAUGUUCCUGUCGACUAGAAAAUAUAUAUAUAUGCACAACCUAAAAUUCGAGAGUUAUGUUUUAUUCAGUGGACAAAACUGAGGACUUAAGCCUGCAAAGUAGCAUCUCAAACACCGAGAAAACUGCUCCAAGGAGGUGAGGGAAGAGCUAAGAUAGAGAGGAGUUUUGCAACAAAGGGCAAAAGAUUACUGUUGGAGCUCCUGCUGUGGCUCAAGGGGAUUUCGGGUGUCACAGAGAUGCAGGUUCAAUCCCCAGUCCAGCACAGUGGGUUGAGGAUCCGACAUUGUUACAACUGUGGUGUAGGUCGAAACUUCGGCUUGAUCUGAUCCCUGGCCCAGGAACUCCAUGUGCCUUGGGGUGGCCAAAGAAGGAAAACAAAAAGAUUACUAAAAGAAAAAUAAGAUUAAAAAAGAUUAAUAAAAGAAAAAUAGAUAUCUCAAGUUAAGGAAUUUUAGCACUUUUCUCCGUAUGGGAAAAUGCAAGAGUCAGGGCUCACUAAAAUCAUUCCUUUGGUAGGCACCUCAGCUCUCUGGGGUAUAUCCUGUGUUUUUACAUCCUGAGGGCUCACCCUGGGGAGUGGAUGCCUCUGAUGGCUGCUAGGUGGCAGAGAUUCUUUGUUUCCUUUCUGAGUUCCCUCAGGGCUCACCAGCUAGGAGGUGGCUGCCAUCACUGGUGACAGUGACAUCCUCUGUUUACUGAUACGGCAGCCAAUAUCUUAUUUGUCAUCCCUAGAUAAGAAAAUUCAAACAAGGUUAGAAUUACCGUUAGAAAAAUAUGGUUAUAAUUUAGAACGCAAGGUUUAGAACUGGCCAGGAGGGCCUUUGAGUCAGUCAACAUGCCCAUUUUACAAAUGAGGAAAAAGAGGUCCAGGGGUCCAGUCACAUGGCUGGCUCUUCAGCAGCUGAGCAAUAAUCCGAACCCACAUAUUGAUCUGAGAUUCUUGUAUUUUUUCCCACCACCUCUUCCUAGUCGCUGUUUUUCUAACGAUUUUUAUUUUUUCCAUUAUAGCUGGUUUACAGCGUUCUGUCAUUUUCUACAGUGCAGCAAAGAGACCCAGUCACACAUACAUAUAUGCAUUAUUUUUCUCCCAUUAUCCUCCAUCAUAAGCCUGGUCACAAUUUUUUAAUUGCAAAAAUAUGCGUUAAGCACAUACCAGCCCUAAGGACUGCACUGUGGCAGUUCAGGUGGGAAAGCAGAAUGUAAGAAUUCAUCAUGUCAGCCAUCAAAGUUAUGUUUUUCAACUUUGUAGGAGAGAGACAGCUGCACAGCAUUUGAUCUUCACAAUGACAAUGAAAAUGAACCUUAUUUGAAGUUGCAAAAUCACCACAUUGCAUUAGCACAAGACUCUGGCAUGCAGGCACGAGGGCCUUUUGCAGAUGGCUUGCAGAGACUUCGUUUAUGUAGGCACUUCAGGGAACAGAUGGGACCCGUGACGUCCCAGGGCAGAUGUGGAUUUACAGCAUCUCCUUCACAGGCCAGAGCGGCUCCCUUCUACUUGAGCAAAGCCAUGUCAUGCCUCUGGACUGGGAGUCACCAGUAGAGGAGUCCUUAAAGAAACCUGUCCCCAGUGGCACCACUGGCUUCAUCCCAGAGCCUGGCAAUGCAUCACGAGUGAGUGUUUGAUGGCAACAAAAAUUCCAUUUCAGUUGAAGUUUAUAAAGAAAAAACAAGCAUCACCCGGGAGGCUGGAAGAUUAAGGGAAAAAAAACCCACAUUAGUUUAAAUGUUCUCUGCCAUUGUCAUAAACCCAAGAGAGAUAGUUUUUCUUUUUCCUCUAACUUGGGUUAAGUAUGUAUGGUACCUGUCCCCUCCUCUGAUUUACCUAUCCCCUAGAUAGUUUAAGCUCUGGAGAUUUGAGAACUAAAGGAAAAUACAUGUAAAGCUGAGCUUCAUGAAGACUCUGCCAAGAGGUCACUUCAGGGUCUUUAGUGUGUAAAAUUCUGAUAAAAAUAUGUGUCUUGGUUCCUCCAAAGGUAGCGUUUCAGCAUCUCAUAAAGAAGCUAUCAGAGAAGAUAGCCACUUGGGGAAAAAAAAAAAAAAA